Molecule: long non-coding RNA, 3209 nt
Organism: Symphalangus syndactylus (siamang)
Lineage: Eukaryota; Metazoa; Chordata; Mammalia; Primates; Hylobatidae
Source: RefSeq, a predicted model, not a curated record
UCUGCAUCUGGUGAGAGCCUCAAGCUGCUGGCACUCAUGGCGGAAGGGGAAGGGGAGCUGGCAGAAAUCACACGGUGAGAGAGAAGCUCAGGAAGCCAGCUGUGUUCAAGUUUCAACCAACACUUGAGAGCCUCUUUCUUAUGUCCACCUUGGGAGGCCAGUACCCAGAGCUUCAGCCAGCUGAUGAAGAGGAGAGGGAGGAAGAGGAAGGAAAUCCUGUCACAUGCCACACCAUGGAUGAACCUGGAAGACAUUAUGCUAAAUGGAAUAAUCCAUUCACAAGAAGGACAAAUACUGCAUGAUUCCAUCUAUAUGAAGCAUCUAAAGAAGUCAAACUCAUUGAAACAGAAAGUAGAAUGGUAGCUGCCAAGGACUGGGGGUAGCCGUGGGAGAGUUGCCAUUCAAUCACAGCAGAACACCUCCAUGGCUACUGAACCUUGUGCUGCUCAACAUUUUCCAUAGCAGUGAGUGAGAUGAAGGCACAGAAUGAUAGACUCUGACGUAUCUGUAGCGGACUCACCAUAUGAAGAUAGUCUUUUGGUUACCCUGUCUCAGGUAUUCCUUUAUAGCAACACAAGCAGACCAACACAUCCUAUUAUAGACAACUAAAUCAAGUUUGAAAGCUUUCUUGAUGGCUGGGACAGAGCUGGACUGAAUUCAACAAGAUGAAAUCCCAUGAAGGUUAAUGAAAGAUCUUCCAUUUAGGUUUGUGAUAACCAAUUAUAUAUGUACUAAUGGUGAAAUUUUUUUCCAUCUAUAUGCCAGGAUCUGAAAGUUUUAUUUGACUACAAGACUAAAAAUGAUGCAAGAAUGUGUGCUAUGGCUACUUAAAGAGCAAACGAAGACUGGUCACAUUAAUAAAAGUAUUGUGUCUAGAACCAGGGAAAUGAUAUUCUAUCUGAAGCAGGAUGUUCCCUUCUGGGCAUCACUAUUUAAGAAGGACACUGACAAUUUAGAUACCAUUCAGAAAAGGGUAACCAGGUUCUUGGAAGGUCAACAACAGAUGAAGAAAUAGGGUCCACUUGUUAUGUUAUCAUAGCACCCUAUAGUUUUCCUGUGAGGAAUUUAUAUAACAUUGUAAAAUAAAUAAUGUUUUAGUUGUACAAAUGUUUUCAAAUUUCUUUAACUUUUUAUUUUGAGAUUAUUAUAGAUUUACAGGAAGUUGCAAGGAUGGCACAGAGAGGUCCCAUGAGCCCUUUGCCUAGUUUAUCCUAAUGAUACAUCUUAUAUAUUUAUAGCAAAAUAUCCAAACCAGAAAGGAAAUUGACAUUGGCACAAUGUUUGUGUAUAGUUCUGUGCCAUUUUGUCACAAGUGUAGAUUUGUGUAACCACCACCACCGGUUUUAUUGAUCUUUUUAAAGAACCAACUCUUUGUUUCAAUGAUUUUCUCUGUUUUUCUUGUCGAUUUUCAGCUUCAUUGAUUUCUGCUCUUGUCUUUAUUCUCUCCUUCCUUCUGCUUGCUUUGGGUUUAUUUUGCUCUUAUUUUUCUAGGUUCUUGAAGUUGGAGCUUAAAUUAUUUAUUUGAGACUUUUCUUCUUUUCUAAUGUAAGCAUUUAGUGCUUUAAAUUUCCCCCUCAGCACUGCUGUGUACCACAGAUUUUUAUAGAAUCCUUUUUCAUUUUCACUCAGUUCAGUGUAUUUUUUAAUUUCACCUGUGACUUCCCCUUUGACACAUGGGUUAUUUGGAAGCAUUUUGUUUAAUUUCCUAGUGUUUGGAGAUUUUCCUGUUAUCUUUCUACUAUUAAUUUCUAGUUAGUUUACAUUGUGGUCAGAGAACACACUGUAUGAUUUCAAUUCUUUUACAUCUGUUAAGGUUUGUUUUAUGGCCCAGGCUAUGACCAAUCUUGGUAUACAUUCCAUGGGCACUUGAAAAGUAUGUGUAUUCUGUUUGUUGGAUGGAAUGUUCUAUAAACAUUGAUUCCAUCCUGUUGGUUGAUGUUGGUGUUUUGUUCUUCUGUAUCUUUGCUGAUUUUCUGUCUAGCUGUUUACUAAAUGUUGAGAGAAGUGUUCAACAUUUAAUUAUAGUUGUCUCCAGCUAUAAUUGUGGAUUUGUUUAUUUUUCCUUUCAGUUCUGUCAGUUUUUGAUUCGCAUGUUUAGCUGCUCUGUUUAUUUGGUGCAUAUACACAUAAGAAUCUAUGUCUUCUUGGUGUAUUGAGACUAUUAUCGUUUGUAAUGUCAGUCUACGUCCCUGGCAAUUUUCUUUUCUCUGCAGUCUACUUUAUCUGAUAUUAAUGUAGUCAUUUUUGCUUUCUUUUGAUUAAUGUUUGAAUUAUAUAGCUUUCCUGUGUUUUAUUUUCAAUCUACCUAUCUCAUUAUAUUUGAAUAGUGUUUCUUGUAGAUAAUAUAUAGUUGGACCAUUUUAUUAAUCCCCUCUGCCAGUCUCUGUCUUGGAGUUGGUGUAUUUAGGCCAUUUUAAUUUAAUAUAAUUAUUGAUAUGUAGAAGUUUGUCUGCAUUUUAUUUUUUGUUUUCUGUUUAUCCUUUGCUUUCCAUUCUGUUUUCUUUUUCCUGCCUUCCUAUGGUUUACUUGAAUAUUUUUUAGAAUUCCAUUUUGAUUUAUCUGUAGUAUUAUUAGGUUUAUCUCCUUAUAUAGUUUUCUUAUUGGUUCUUCUAGGUAAUGCAUUAUAUAUAUAUUAUGUACAUAAUGUAUAUACAGUCAUGUGCCACAUAACAACAUUUUAGUCAAUGAUGGACUGCAUAUACAAUGGCAGCCCCAUAAGAUUGUAAUGGACCUGAAAAAUUCCUAUCACCUAGUGGCAUUGUAGCUGUCCUAAUGUCGUAGCACAAUGCACGUGUUUGUGGUGAUGCUGGUAUAAACAAACCUACUGCUCUGCCAGUCAUGCGAAGGUAUAGCACAUAUAGGCCGGGCGCGGUGGCUCAUGCUUGUAAUCCCAGCACUUUGGGAGGCCGAGGCGGGCGGAUCACGAGGUCAGGAGAUCGAGACCACGGUGAAACCCCGUCUCUACUAAAAAUACAAAAAAUUAGCCAGGCGUGGUGGCGGGCGCCUGUAGUCCCAGCUACUCGGGAGGCUGAGGCAGGAGAAUGGCGUGAACCCGGGAGGUGGAGCUUGCAGUGAGCCGAGAUUGCGCCACUGCACUCCAGCCUGGGCGACAGAGCGAGACUCUGUCUCAAAAAAAAAAGAAAGUAUAGCACAUACCAUUGUGUGUAGUAUAUAAUACUCAAUAAUGAUAAUAAAUAACUAUGUUACUG